GACGAACGCUGGCGGCGCGCCUAACACAUGCAAGUCGAACGGAGCUGAGAGAAGCUUGCUUUUCUUAGCUUAGUGGCGAACGGGUGAGUAACGCGUGAGUAACCUGCCCUGGAGUGGGGGACAACAGUUGGAAACGACUGCUAAUACCGCAUAAGCCCACGAUCCGGCAUCGGAUUGAGGGAAAAGGAUUUAUUCGCUUCAGGAUGGACUCGCGUCCAAUUAGCUAGUUGGUGAGGUAACGGCCACCAAGGCGACGAUUGGUAGCCGGACUGAGAGGUUGAACGGCCACAUUGGGACUGAGACACGGCCCAGACUCCUACGGGAGGCAGCAGUGGGGGAUAUUGCACAAUGGGGGAAACCCUGAUGCAGCGACGCCGCGUGGAGGAAGAAGGUUUUCGGAUUGUAAACUCCUGUCGUGAGGGACGAUAAUGACGGUACCUAACAAGAAAGCACCGGCUAACUACGUG
Molecule: ribosomal RNA, 467 nt
Filed under: uncultured bacterium
Lineage: Bacteria
Description: partial 16S ribosomal RNA
Rfam family: Bacterial small subunit ribosomal RNA
Source: RNAcentral